This 60-nucleotide ribosomal RNA is filed under the name Gallionella sp. Its description in RNAcentral is "partial 16S ribosomal RNA". The record is from RNAcentral. Lineage: Bacteria; Pseudomonadati; Pseudomonadota; Betaproteobacteria; Nitrosomonadales; Gallionellaceae.
CAGGUAUUAAACUGAAGAGUUUGAUCCUGGCUCAGAUUGAACGCUGGCGGUAUGCUUUAC